CUGUCCUACGGGGGGCAGCAGUGGGGAAUAUUGCACAAUGGGGGGAACCCUGAUGCAGCGACGCCGCGUGAGUGAAGAAGUAUUUCGGUAUGUAAAGCUCUAUCAGCAGGGAAGAAAAUGACGGUACCUGACUAAGAAGCCCCGGCUAACUACGUGCCAGCAGCCGCGGCAAUACGUAGGGGGCAAGCGUUAUCCGGAUUUACUGGGUGUAAAGGGAGCGUAGACGGUUAUGCAAGUCUGAAGUGAAAGCCCAAGGCUCA
Molecule: ribosomal RNA, 260 nt
Filed under: uncultured bacterium
Lineage: Bacteria
Description: partial 16S ribosomal RNA
Rfam family: Bacterial small subunit ribosomal RNA
Source: RNAcentral